GGGCAGGUGGGGCUGCUGGAGGCGAGGCCUGCCUGGGGCAGAUAGCUCACAAGUAGAUCCUCCGCAGGUCUCCGGGUGCUGUGAUCGUGUUGCACUGAGGGCAGAGCUUCUUGGCACCCUGCAGGGAGAACAGGGAGGGCUCUGGUCUACACAAUGUGCCACGUGUGCGCAUGCGAGCACCUGGGCCUGCAGCCAUGUCUCUCUGCACCAGUGUGUGCUGGGACCUUGGUCCUGUCAGCACAGGCUGGGGACGCAUAGGCAGCUUCUGUGAGCAGGCAGGCACGCUCCUGUGUUGGGGGGACGCCAGGAUCAAACCGCCUGGCCAGCCCCGCAGCAGGAGCCCCGGUAAUGAGAACAAGGCUGGGUCCAGCUGUGGCAGCCGCAGCCCUAACGAGAUUACACGCGGCCUUUGAUCAGGACACAGAGCCCACGUCCGAGCCUUUUAUUGCUGUCUCCGGGCGACAUUUUAAUGGCUGCUCCUGAGCGAGGAACAGGGGCAGGAGCAGAAGGAGCUUAGUAAUGGGAGGGGGAGGGGCCAAGGCCCUGGUCCUGUUUACCCACAGCCAGCCUCCUCCUGACCCUGGGCCUCACCAGUCUGUGUGAUGCAGUGGACCUUCGGGGGGGCAGGGGGAGGGGAAGGGAGAAUGCAGUGAACUCAUGGAGGGGGAGAAGUUCCUAAACCUGCAGUGGGGGAGGAGGCAGCGAGCCUGGGGGUAAAUAUCCUGUUCUCCUUUGCCCCAUGCUCCCCACUUCCCCCAGGCAGGCUCAGGCAUAAGCAUGGACAGCUGGGCAGUGCCCGGAACGGCCUCCCAUUCCCCGACCCCCAUGCCACCUCACCAGGGUCCGCAGCCAGCACUCCUCGCAGUGCACGUGCCAACACUGGAUGGACGUCAGGGGCAUCGAGUACGAGUCCUAGGGAGGAGGGGGCAGACAAGGAAGGGGUCACUCUGAGGCAGGUCCACCCACUGAAGAGCCCAGAGCACAGUGCGGAGACCCUCUCCAACUCCCCCAGAGGGCGCAGAAGCCUGACCAACGGAACCCCUAGGUUCUUUUCUACUCACCAUGCAGAUGAGGCAUUUGUAACGGUCCCCACGAGAUAGCUGCCGUUCAAGUUCUCUGACCCGAGCCUUCAGAGCCUCAAACGUGGUCACAGCUGAAUCUUCGGUGAUUCUGUAAAAAGGAAGGCAUGGUUGGGUGGCAGGCGGGCAUCUCCCAUUUGCACCUCCAGCCUACACCUCCCUUGAAUUCCAGAACCAAAUACAGAAAUGUCCCCUAGGCAUCCCUGCCUGCCCCCUUCCUCUGAUAGCCCGAAUCUGCAAAUUCACAUUCCACAACUAAACUCCUCACCCUCUCUGUUCCUCCAUUCCCAUCCGGAUGAAUUUUUACACCACAGAUACCAGGGAACCGUUUCCAACCACUCCUUCGCAGUCUUCCCAACAACCCAAAUCUGUCAUCUUUCCUGGUAUCUCCAGCAUCUCUCCACUUCUUUUGCCCCUCACCACCACUAGUCCAGGCUCUCAGAUGUCUUGCACCAAUUCCUCCACUAACUUUUUCCAGACAGCCUCUCUUCCUCCAGGCCCCUCAUCUCCAUUCCACUCUCCCAACACCUAGAAGAAUUUAUGUUCUCAAAGCGAAUCUCUUGUGGUGUGACUUCCAACAUUCCAAUGUCCCCCUCAGAGUAGAGCUCCACCGCACUCCUUGGUCCAGUUCCAGCCCACCGCACCCCUGAGGACCUUGCCAUGCAUUUUAUGCUCGACUGCUAUGUGUCACCAUCCAUGCCACCUUUUUCACUGCCUUGGCCUCUGCACUGUGAUCCCUUUGCACCCCCUCGCCUGACUCACUAGCUCUGCCUCAUCAUUCAGACCUAGUUUUGUUCUCAUGCCCUCCCAGAAGCCUUUUCUAGACCCCCGAGCCAGCACUGCACAGUGGCUCUCACAGCCCCGUGUGAACACCACAGCAGUGUAAAGUUCCUGAGUGUGGGUUCCCUGAGGGUGCGCUGCUCACUCCACCAACACUACGGCCAAGAGCCCCACCUCAAGCACGGGGCACGAGCAAACACUUGCUGAAGAAAGGGCCCGUCCAACCUCCAGGGACAGGGGGAGAGAUGCAGGGACUGGGCGGGUCCCACAUGAUCUAGGUCCCUUUGCCACAGGCCUGGCCUGCCUCCAGGGCUCCUUGUUACUUCCUAGGCAUAUCAGAUGCCCUGGUAGUCCUGUCUGUGGGAAGCCCUGCACCAGAAGGUCCCUCCUGCAUGUCCAGGACUCCUUGGGCUGCACUGCUGAACAGGGAAUAGCUAGGACUCUCUCAAGGAACCUUCCCGCCCUCCUAAAACAAGUGAACAGGACCCAGAGGAGCUCACAGAGGGAGGAGAAUGCUUCCUGGAAGACUAGAAAAGAUGGUGCAGGAGACUGGCCUUAGGGAAUAGUAAUGAUAAUACAAAUAAAAUAGCUAAAAUUUAUUAAGCACUUACUAAAUGCCAGGGAUUGUACUGAGGGAUUGAUAAUUAUUAUCUUAUUUACACCUCACAAAAACCCCAUGAGAAGAUUCUAGUAUCUCCGAUUUAUAUACAAAGAAACUAAAGCACAGAAAGAUUAAGUAGCUUGCUCAAGGUCCCCACAGAGUCAGGGAGAUGGGAUUCAAACCUGGCAGACUGAUUCCAUGAUCAACUAAUAACUGUGUGACUGACCAUGACUGUACUGGCUACACCCAGGAGGAGGGGGCUUCCAGGCCAAGAGAACAGCAGAAACAGAGGCCAAGAGGCCCAAGAUUCUAGUCUGGCUAGAAGGCCCAUGUGUAGGCAAAGUGCUACAGUGAGAAAGGAGAUGGCAUGCAGGAGGACCUCAAAUGCCACACCUGAAGGAGCUGAAGUUUAUCUCAUGGACAGCAGGAAGCUGCUGAGGAUGCUGGAAGAGCGGGAUACGAACAGCUCAGGUUUCACAGAUGUACUUAAUCAGGAAGCAGAGGCUGGACUGAGAGCAGCGGGAAUCAUAAGGGAGGUGGACUUUGGGCAAGGACAUUCUCCUGGGGGCACCUGUUCUGCAGUUUAGGGGAGACAAUCAGCUCAGGAAGCUUGAGAGCUUACAGGUGGUCUGUCAUUACUGGAUGUGAGUGGUAAUGGGAGUGCAGGGAGGGUAGUGGUCACAUUUCAUGGGCAAUAACAAACUUCAAUCUCUGGCCUUUUUCCUCUGGGGAGCUAGCAGCAACACAGAGCUUGACUCCUUAGUGGCUGUGUCCCUGUAUCAGGGACAAUUAAAUCCAUCACCCUAGGGUCCAUGAUUCCCUCUGCCUUGCCUCUUCCCACGGAUGCCAAGAAAGGCUCUGACUCGUUCCUCCUGGUACUGGCUGAUUCCCUGGGGGCUUCCAUUUAUCCCUCUGGUUCUGGAAGUCUUUACUACCCCUUCUCUCGUCACAAGCCCUCAAACAGCAGGCUCCUUCCCUGGCAUUUUGCACAAUGCUAUAUAUGCCAUCCCCAUCUGGAUUACAGGUAAAUUCCUGAUAAGGAGACAAGGAUUUGUAGCUGUGCUCCCUUCCACUCCAAGGACUAAGCUGAGAAUUUGCCUAGUCCUAUAUGGUUAUUUCAAAGAUGGGGAAACUAAGGCCUGCAGCUGGGGGCAGCCUACCCCAGAAUGGAGAACUAACUCCCAAACCUCAAAUCAGAGAACUGGAGCUGGAAUGGCAAAAAUGGAUGAGGCCAGGAGAGAACGAAGUCAUUUCCCAUGCCAUCUCCAAGAGCUACAAGGCCACAGUGAAGGCCAACAGCCAACUCCAGAGCCUGCCUAUCCUGGGUGUGCUCAGCACACACCUGCCCUCCAAUCUUGGCUCUGGCGAAAUACCCAAGCCUCCAACCCCUGGUCCAGGCUGGCUGUGAGCUAUUCCUGAGCCCCUCCAGGGCACGGGGGGUGGGGAGAUUCUUGGUGGAGCCAUGGCAUCCUACCAUUCCUUUUCCCUGCGUAGUAAAACAGAUCUAGGGCAAGAAAUAGAGAAAUCUUGGGGACUGACGGGCCCCAGUCUCAGCAGACCCAGACCCAGUGGAGAGCUCUGCACAUGACUGAGCCAGUCUCCACCUCAUCAUAGAGAUCCCUGCCUAUGGGUGCCUGUGCUCACACAGGUGGGACAGAAAUCCUGGCUACCCCCAGCCUUGGGUGGGUUGUACCUUCAUGGAAGCCACUGGCUCUGCCCCCACCUCCUCCUUGGGCACCAUCCCUGAUUAAUGAUCUUGUCUUUCUGAUUUAUGAGCAGCCCCUCCAGACGAGGGUGGGUGCCCCUUACAACCCCGCCCGCCCCGCUCAGCUGGAGUAGGAGAGAAUUAUUAAAUAAACAUCCAUACGUCAUUCCUCCCCCCCCACAAGCUGGUUGCACCGAACCCGUACGGCCCGCUCCGGCGCUGACACGGAGCAGCUGCGGUGAUUCAUGGGCAGCCGGGCCCUGCGCCGCGGCCCAUACAUCAUGCCAGCAGCACUCGCGGCCCCGGCCGAGAUAAACUGAUCAACCACAACGGGCUGGAAUGAAUUUAUGACAACACAAAAUGGAGGGAAACAAAUGGGAGGUGACCCUGGGCCACCGACCCGGCCCUGCACCGGCCUGCAAUCCACUCUCCUGGCAGGAGGCAAAGAUGGAACACUGGCCCUGGAAUGAAGAGGCUGCCUUUUAACCCCAGGCAACCUAGCCUGCAGUCAGAAGGUGGAGUGGGUACUGGAGUUAAGCAAUGACCAAUGGCAGCAGCACCAGGCAGCCCAGACUGGACAAUGCCAUCUCCUGAGGCCAGAACUGGCUUUCCUUGGGCUUCUGGGAAGUCAGGGAGAUGCCCAGCUGAUACUAAAUCUUUGUGGUUCCCGGGGAUCCGGGCCAGGGAUUGCCCAGCGCUGGGCGAAGUGCUAAUGGAUCCCCUUUCCUCUGCCAGAGAACCCAGGCCAAAAAUUCCUACCAGAAGUGAUGAGACCCAAUGUUCCUGCCUAAAACCCACUGUGAGUGCCACCCGGGACAAGAAAAAUGAAACCAAUUUAGCUCCCGAUUAAGAAACAGAAACUGGAGAUGAAUCAAGUGCGCCGGCUGGGCUGGGCGGCCAUACAUCACAUUCCCCGGGUGGAGGCCGCCACAGCGGGCAGGCAGGCGGGCGGACUGCUCCUCCCUCCGCCAAGGCUCCCGGGGCCGUGGCCCAGCGAUCAAUUCACAGAGUCACGCUUAGCACCAGCUGGGCUCCACUGCCGGCUGUGUGCCCAGGGCAGCAGCACUGAGCUGCACUUGGGAGGGCCAGAAGCCCUGGCAGCAGGCCUUCCUGCUAGUAAAGGGCCCCUCCUCCCACUGAACUGCGGUCCCAGGGCCCCUCCUGGCCAAACACUCACUUCUCGAUGUCGCUGUUCUUGCAGGUCUUCUGCAUGGCCUCCUGCUUGCUGCUUUCCCCAUUGCUGGUGGAUGGCAUCUCUGCUGGGACAGAGGGGCAACUCAUACUCCGGCCAGACUGGGCAGCACAGGUGCUAACGCGGCUUGGCUGUCACCUUCAAUGCAUCACCCGAGGCUGAGAGCCCCCCUCGUCAUUCCUAGCUUGCAGCCUCACAAUUCCAUUUCCCCACCCAAAUACAUCCAUUUUAAUAUGCACAUCACAGGCAGGCAGCACGGUCACAAAGGAGCCCCACCAGCAGCAGUCCCCACGUGGUGGAACGGAUGGAUGACCAGCCACCAGCCUCGGCCUCUUGGCUCCCAACAGAUGGAUACCCAGCAGAGGCCUGGCACCAGAGUGCCACUGUCUAUGUGUCAGCUGCUUGUACCUCGGAAGCCACCUUCCAGAAGAGUGGUGGCCCGUAUCCGCUUCUGCCCACACCAUUCAUACUCCUCAAAGCGGUUGUUGUUCUCAUGCUCGAUGUCCACAGCAUCAUCCUCAGCCAUGCAGGAGCCUUCCCUCUGUGAAGAGCAGAGCAGGAUCAUGCUGGGCCCAGGCCAUCCCCACCUGCUCCCCACAGUCUGCGACGAAGGCACAGCUCUAGCCCCAGCUGUGGUGCGCCAAGUGGGCCCUCAGCUCUAGGGCUCCUCUGAAGCAAACCAAUUUAGAGGUCAAAGACCUGGGCCUCUUCCCAAAUUUUCCACUGGAGCCCAAGGAGGGAAUGAGUGAGAGUGAAAGCAAAGGGAGAGAGCAGUGGACAGAAGUGAAGAAGCUGCUGAGACCACAUGGAGACCCCAAGAGCCCACAGAUUCAGGGGUAGUCUGCAGCUAGUGUCGGGGGAAGGGAGUGGGGAAGGAAGGUGGGUGGUGAUGGCCCCUCUACCUUAGAAAGGCAAUGCUCCACAUGCCUACUCAUCUCCUGCUCCGAUCCUGCCAGGGGGCAGUUGCACAGGGGACAUACCUGCCCUUCAUCUUGCUUCCUCCGUUUCAUUUUCCCAAUCCGAGCUGCACGGGGGAACCGAAAACAAAGCACAGAACAAGCAGACGGUCACUGCAGCCCCCAAGGUCCCAGUGGAGCUGACACAUCCUGACCUCUUGCCAACCACUAGCGUUUUUAUUCAGUGCCUGAUCUGGCCCUCAUCUUGAAGUACCUCCUGCUCCUUUGGGGACUGGGCUUUGCCAAGAGCACCUGGGGAGGAGACUGGUGCUAACUAAGCCAGUGAGUAAGUCUACUCUUUGGCCACAGCUGGUGCAAGGUCUACCCAUACCUUUACUUGCAGUGUUUAGUAAGAGUCCAAUGAGCAAAGACACUCCAUGUUGCUAGGUAUCUCUCCAGAAAGCCAAGACCAUGAACUCUUUUGGUGUCGGGAAAUACAACUCUAAAGAGCAUCUCUUGGCUAGAACCUAACCCCUCCAGUGGCCUGACUUGGCCUGCUGUUCACUCAUCAGCUAAAUCCUCUUUUGUUCCUGGGCCAAGAGCCCUGAGGUACAACUCCUAGCAUCCCACCUAGAAUCUUAACAGGAAGAAUUUCUCUGAGGUCCACUAAUCCCAUUUUACAGAAGAGGAGACUGAGGCCCAGUCACAAAGGUAAGAGGGUCUGGGUCAGACCUUUGGCAGCCAGGUCAGAAGGCUCAGGGAACCCUGAGAAGGCAGCCCUUAUUGUGCCCACCUGAACCUGUUCCAUCAUUUCUAAUCAGUACAGAGGGGCUGGCAGGCCCUGGAGGCAGAGGGCUGCCUGCCAUGUUGUCCCACAGGGGGCUCAGUUCCAAAGUGCACACUGCAAGCCCACAGCACUGCUAAUUAAUGCUGAGCGAUGCAAUCAUUUCUAAUUAGCUCAGUAAUCCCUCUCUGUAGCCCUCCUGUCACUGAAGCAGGAAGGGGUCAAAAUAAGAAACUCUGUUCCCUCUAGUCCCUUCCAGAAUGCCACAGCAGGAUCAGAGAUGGCUACUCUGGGACCAAAUUGAUGGGGAGGCGGGAGAGCCAGCCAAGGAGGGAAAGGUUCCCCAGUGCAGGGCCAGGAAGAACUUUCUCACAGACAGUGACUCUGACAAGAAGUUCAUGAAUGCAAUCUAGGAGGGGAACACAGGUGAGAGCUGCUAUGUUACAAUUUAGAGCUUCUACUGUGUGUCAGGCUCAUAGCCAAGUACGUUACCCAAGGUAGCUCAUUUACUACCACUUGCUGAAGCUAGAUUGCAUUAUCCCAUUUUAACAGAUGAAGAAACUCGAAGCUUAGAUCAAGGCACGUGUCCAAGUAGCUAAAAAGUGGCAAAGGCAAGAUAGGAAACCAGGCCUGACUUCAUAACCUAGAAUGCCCUUCUGUUCCAAGGGGACCCCCUAACUGAGCAGCAUCAACAAAGACUGGUCCCAGUGAGUGUGCUAGAGCUCCAGCUCCUGCCUGUUGUGAGCCUGAGGCAGGGAGCUACUCCAACUCCAAAACAGAGCGACCCCACAAAGACCCAAACCAAAAGGAAAGCUACCAUCCUGCCAGAACUGGGCAUGGAGUCUGAGAAAACUUGGUCUGUAGCCCAGUCCAUCUCUUCAAUUUCCUGUGUUUUCACUAUAGGUGACAUGACUGUGUCCUAGUGCCCCACUUGACUUUGUGCACAAAGAUUGAGAACUCUUCACUUUGGCUGCCCUAACUCUUGGAAUCUCAAACUUAGGUAGCCUUGACACUGUAGAGCCAGGGCUGGGAUGGACAAUGGACGUGAAACCUCAGAAAGGCAUAGAGCAAAGGACCCUGAGAGUUUUAGAAGUGUAGUAUGGAGCAGUGUGCCAACACAAAGCUUCCUCCCUACCAUGCCUACACCAAGAGAAUGCCUCCCUGGGUAAGAAGGUGCUGAUGAUACCACAAUGUUCGAUGAUUAAGGAAACGAAUCUCAUGGAAUGGUCAAGAAAAGCACGAUACUGGAUGUGCUCCUUGCUCAGGACACACAGGCCAGCAGAUGAUCCCUUGUAGUCCCUGGAAAGCACCCUGAUGGACUGGGCUUCAUCUGGAAAUUCUCAGAGAAGGCAGGCAGGUUUGGUUUUCACCUUCCCAUUCAUCUUCUAAAUCCUGAACUAAGCUUACCAAAGUGUAGUAGGGAAAGCUCUGUUCUCUAUCCAGAGGCUACGUAUGAGUAGGAAGAAUCAAAGCAUUUGCCAAGGAGGUGCAUGGUGUGGUUGGAGAAACACGGGCUUUGGCGGGAAACAAACUUCAAAUGAAUCAUGGCUCAGUUACAUCCCAGCUGUGUACUUUUAAACAAACCACUUUCACCUCUCA
Molecule: long non-coding RNA, 8636 nt
Organism: Macaca mulatta (Rhesus monkey)
Lineage: Eukaryota; Metazoa; Chordata; Mammalia; Primates; Cercopithecidae
Source: RefSeq, a predicted model, not a curated record